CCUACGGGAGGCAGCAGUGAGGAAUAUUGGUCAAUGGCCGAGAGGCUGAACCAGCCAAGUCGCGUGAGGGAAGAAUGUCCUAUGGAUUGUAAACCUCUUUUGUCAGGGAGCAAAGUCACCCACGUGUGGGUGUUGGAGAGUACCUGAAGAAAAAGCAUCGGCCAACUCCGUGCCAGCAGCCGCGGUAAUACGGGGGAUGCGAGCGUUAUCCGGAUUCAUUGGGUUUAAAGGGUGCGUAGGCGGGUUAUCAAGUCAGCGGUAAAAUCGUGGAGCUCAACUCCAUCCAGCCGUUGAAACUGAUGAUCUUGAGUGGGCGAGAGGUAAGCGGAAUGCGUGGUGUAGCAGUGAAAUGCAUAGAUAUCACGCAGAACUCCGGUUGCGAAGGCAGGAUACCGGCGCCCGACUGACGCUGAGGCACGAAGGCGAGGGUAGCGAACAGGAUUAGAUACCCUGGUAGUC
Molecule: ribosomal RNA, 459 nt
Filed under: uncultured bacterium
Lineage: Bacteria
Description: partial 16S ribosomal RNA
Rfam family: Bacterial small subunit ribosomal RNA
Source: RNAcentral